CACCGCGGUUAUACGGGGGGCCCAAGUUGACAAACAUCACGGCGUAAAGCGUGGUUAAGAUAAUAGACUAAUAGGGCCGAAUAACCUCAAGACAGUUAAAUGUAUUCGAGACCACUAAGCACAUCCACGAAAGUGACCCUAACAGCUCUGACUCCACGAAAGCUAUAACA
RNAcentral lists this ribosomal RNA (170 nucleotides) under Nezumia bairdii (marlin-spike grenadier). RNAcentral's name for it is "partial small subunit ribosomal RNA". Lineage: Eukaryota; Metazoa; Chordata; Actinopteri; Gadiformes; Macrouridae. The record is from RNAcentral.